This is a long non-coding RNA of Solea senegalensis (Senegalese sole), 198 nucleotides long. RefSeq lists it as uncharacterized. The transcript is spliced from 3 exons. The record is from RefSeq and is a predicted model, not a curated record. NCBI's taxonomy places the organism in Eukaryota, Metazoa, Chordata, Actinopteri, Pleuronectiformes, Soleidae.
UGAAAAUGAUCACAAAGGCUUUGGACUUCAAGGGUGAAAUAGUCUAUGACACCACUAUGUCCGAUGGUCAGAUGAGGAAGACAGCAAGCAAUGACAAACUGAGACGCUACCUUCCUGACUUCACCUUCACACCGCUUGAUGAAGCCAUCAAGAUGACCUGUGACUGGUUUGUGGCCAAUUACGACAUUGCAAGAAAAU